GCACUGGACUUCCCACUCUGAGGAAUUAUUUUGGGGAAACAGAAGGUAGCCUUCAGGACAUUCCAUCACCUCUGCCAGCAUUUUGUAUCAUAUCAAUUGUUUCUUGGGAACAGAACAGGGGAGAUCUUUGUCUUCUGCCCUCCAUUCAUCAAGUUCAUCUUUUUCUCAG
This 169-nucleotide long non-coding RNA is filed under the name Capra hircus (goat). Its description in RNAcentral is "lncRNA (ENSCHIG00000007452.1)". The record is from RNAcentral. Lineage: Eukaryota; Metazoa; Chordata; Mammalia; Artiodactyla; Bovidae.